RNAcentral lists this long non-coding RNA (395 nucleotides) under Fukomys damarensis (Damara mole-rat). RNAcentral's name for it is "lncRNA (ENSFDAG00000021630.1)". Lineage: Eukaryota; Metazoa; Chordata; Mammalia; Rodentia; Bathyergidae. The record is from RNAcentral.
GUUCUAUCUUCUGGAGGUCAGUAAAAUGGCCUUUAUGACCCUCUGUGGCUCUGCAGUGUGGAUCCAGGUACCAGCACAACCAGGAGGCCCCAGAGCAGGGGCGGGGAAUAGGCAGCCCUCACCAGUCUGCUCUGAUGAAGGCCAAGAAAGUCACUUCUAUGUACUUGAGUCUUCAUCUAGAGGAAACACCAAUGAAUGCUGGCUGCCCCAAAUGCCUUCUGGCCAGUCUGGCUACAUCAGGUGACCCACAGUCAGUCAGGGAGUCAUUUGCUUUGAAUGCAGCAAGCUUCCGUCUCAGUCAGAUCCUGGAUGACUCCUCCCUGCAGCCUCUGUGCAUGCCACACCCCUCCAAAGCUCUUUUCAGUCAGGUCAGUACGGAGCCCCUUCCCCACCAU